UUAAUUAAAAUGAUACUAAAAAUCUUGAUGUGUAGGAGUAUAUCAUAGUUCCUGAUUUGAUCCAUACUUAUGUCAAAUAGUUUGAACUGUAGUAAGAUAACAUAGGUCCUGAUUCGAUCCCUGCUGAUGUUAAAUAGGCAGAACUGUACGUAGGAGAAUACGAAAGGUCCUGAUUCGACCCCUCCUGAUGUUUAAUUGGUAGGACUAUAGGAGGAUACUAUAGGUCAUGAUUUGAUUCCUGCAUAUGUUCAAUAGGUGCGA
RNAcentral lists this long non-coding RNA (261 nucleotides) under Mytilus galloprovincialis (Mediterranean mussel). The record is from RNAcentral. Lineage: Eukaryota; Metazoa; Mollusca; Bivalvia; Mytilida; Mytilidae.